UACGUAGGGUGCGAGCGUUAAUCGGAAUUACUGGGCGUAAAGCGUGCGUAGGCGGUUCGUUAAGUCAGCUGUGAAAGCCCUGGGCUCAACCCAGGAACUGCGUCCGAUACUGGCAGGCUUGAAUUCGGGAGAGGGAUGCGGAAUUCCAGGUGUAGCGGUGAAAUGCGUAGAUAUCUGGAGGAACACCGGUGGCGAAGGCGGCAUCCUGGACCGACAUUGACGCUGAGGCGCGAAAGCCAGGGGAGCAAACGGG
RNAcentral lists this ribosomal RNA (253 nucleotides) under uncultured bacterium. RNAcentral's name for it is "partial 16S ribosomal RNA". It matches the Rfam family "Bacterial small subunit ribosomal RNA", at positions 524 to 776 of the family's 1533-position model. The record is from RNAcentral.